Molecule: ribosomal RNA, 1643 nt
Filed under: metagenome
Description: SSU rRNA
Rfam family: Eukaryotic small subunit ribosomal RNA
Source: RNAcentral
AGAUGGCAAAGUAGGGGUUUGCCAUGGUGACAACGGGUGACGGGGAAUUAGGGUUCGAUUCCGGAGAGGGAGCCUGAGAAACGGCUACCACUUCCAAGGAAGGCAGCAGGCGCGCAAAUUACCCAAUGCUAAUUCGGCGAGGUAGUGACAAGAAAUACCAAUGUAGGACCCAACGGGUACUACGUUUGGAAUGAGUACAAUUUAAAAACCUUAACGAGGAACAAUUGGAGGGCAAGUCUGGUGCCAGCAGCCGCGGUAAUUCCAGCUCCAAUAGUGUAUAUUAAAGUUGCUGCGGUUAAAAAGCUCGUAGUUGGAUUACGAAGUGGUGUUUAAAUGUUAAUUUUGGUUGGUCAGUCCUUCGGGGCAUUCUGGCUGACUUUGGCACUUACUCACUGAUGUCAUUGUCUUUGCCCAAGGUAAUUGCCUUGUGUGCAUGGCAUUGACCUUCUAUUUUAUGGUAAUGAGGUCAUCUUUCGGGGUGACUCUUCAUUCCAUAUAGUUUACUUUGAAAAAAAUUAGGGUGUUUAAAGCAGGCGAAAAGGCUUCGGAAUAUAUUAGCAUGGGAUAAUAGAAUACGAUUUAGGUCGUAAUUUGUUGGUUUCUACGGCUUAGGUAAUGAUUGACAGGGAUAGUUGGGGUCGCUCGUAUUGAGUUGUCAGAGGUGAAAUUCUAGGAUUAACUCAAGACGAACUAAUGCGAAAGCAUCCGGCAAGGAUGUUUUCAUUAAUCAAGAACGAAAGUUGGGGGAUCGAAGAUGAUCAGAUACCGUCGUAGUCUCAACUGUAAACUAUGUCGACCGAGGAUCCGGUAGCGUUACAUGGAUGACCUUCCGGGCACUCUGUGAGAAAUCAUAAGUAUUUGGAUUUCGGGGGGAGUAUGGUCGCAAGGCUGAAACUUAAAGGGAUUGACGGAAGGGCACCACCAGGAGUGGAAUCUGCGGCUUAAUUUGACCCAACACGGGAAAACUUACCAGGUCCGGACACAGUGAGGAUUGACAGAUUGAGAGCUCUUUCUUGAUUUUGUGGGUGGUGGUGCAUGGCCGUUUUUAGUUGGUGGAGUGAUUUGUCUGGUUAAUUCCGUUAACGAACGAGACCUUAACCUAUUAAAUAGCUGCGCGAACCCAGGUUCUUUAACCAUUCUCUCCUUCGGGGGGGCGUGGUAUCAUCUCUUUGCUUUUCACCUUCGGGUGGGAGGUAGGGGGAUGAUAGGGCCUGAGAUGAGUUGGUGAUUUGGCUUCUUAGAGGGACUACUUGCAUCCUUAGCAAGGGGAGGUUUGAGGCAAAAACAGGUCUGUGAUGCCCUUCGAUGUUCUGGGCUGCACGCGCGUUACACUGGCGCAUGCAAAGAGUUUAAAAUUCCUGUCCUGAUGAGGUUGGGAAAUCUUUUUAAAGUGCGUCGUGAUGGGGAUAGAGCAUUGAAAUUAUUGCUCUUGAACGAGGAAUUCCUAGUAAUUGCAGGUCAUCAACCUGCAAUGAUUACGUCCCUGCCCUUUGUACACACCGCCCGUCGCUCCUACCGAUGGUUGAACCGAUGAGGACUCGGGAUGAUCUUAUUAGAUCGGUCGGUCGAAAGAUCGAUAGACUAUUAGGUCAGAACUUGUUCAAAUCUUUUUAACUAGAGGAAGGAGAAGUCGUAACAAGGUU